RNAcentral lists this transfer RNA (74 nucleotides) under Planctopirus ephydatiae. RNAcentral's name for it is "tRNA-Ile". It matches the Rfam family "tRNA". Rfam says of the family: Transfer RNA (tRNA) molecules are approximately 80 nucleotides in length. Lineage: Bacteria; Pseudomonadati; Planctomycetota; Planctomycetia; Planctomycetales; Planctomycetaceae. The record is from RNAcentral.
CGGCAUGUAGUUCAGUGGUGAGAGCGACGUCCUUAUAAGACGUGAGUCGAAGGUUCGACUCCUUCCAUGCCGAC